GCCAGCAUGGUGUAGUGGUUUAAUCGUUGGACUAGGACUCUGGAGACCAGGAUUCGAAUCCUGGCUUGGCU
Molecule: transfer RNA, 71 nt
Filed under: Phrynosoma platyrhinos (Desert horned lizard)
Lineage: Eukaryota; Metazoa; Chordata; Lepidosauria; Squamata; Phrynosomatidae
Description: tRNA-OTHER
Source: RNAcentral